CCUACGGGUGGCAGCAGUGGGGAAUAUUGGACAAUGGGGGGAACCCUGAUCCAGCCAUGCCGCGUGUGUGAAGAAGGCCCUCGGGUUGUAAAGCACUUUCAGUGAGGAAGAACGCCUGGUGGUUAAUACCCAUCAGGAAAGACAUCACUCACAGAAGAAGCACCGGCUAACUCCGUGCCAGCAGCCGCGGUAAUACGGAGGGUGCGAGCGUUAAUCGGAAUUACUGGGCGUAAAGCGCGCGUAGGUGGCUUGAUAAGCCGGUUGUGAAAGCCCCGGGCUCAACCUGGGAACGGCAUCCGGAACUGUCAAGCUAGAGUGCAGGAGAGGAAGGUAGAAUUCCCGGUGUAGCGGUGAAAUGCGUAGAGAUCGGGAGGAAUACCAGUGGCGAAGGAGGCCUUCUGGACUGACACUGACACUGAGGUGCGAAAGCGUGGGUAGCAAACAGGAUUAGAUACCCCAGUAGUC
RNAcentral lists this ribosomal RNA (465 nucleotides) under Vreelandella stevensii. RNAcentral describes it as "partial 16S ribosomal RNA". It matches the Rfam family "Bacterial small subunit ribosomal RNA", at positions 338 to 795 of the family's 1533-position model. Lineage: Bacteria; Pseudomonadati; Pseudomonadota; Gammaproteobacteria; Oceanospirillales; Halomonadaceae. The record is from RNAcentral.